RNAcentral lists this ribosomal RNA (405 nucleotides) under Klebsiella pneumoniae. Its description in RNAcentral is "bacterial SSU rRNA". It matches the Rfam family "Bacterial small subunit ribosomal RNA", at positions 771 to 1178 of the family's 1533-position model. Lineage: Bacteria; Pseudomonadati; Pseudomonadota; Gammaproteobacteria; Enterobacterales; Enterobacteriaceae. The record is from RNAcentral.
AACAGGAUUAGAUACCCUGGUAGUCCACGCCGUAAACGAUGUCGAUUUGGAGGUUGUGCCCUUGAGGCGUGGCUUCCGGAGCUAACGCGUUAAAUCGACGCCUGGGGAGUACGGCCGCAAGGUUAAAACUCAAAUGAAUUGACGGGGCCCGCACAAGCGGUGGAGCAUGUGGUUUAAUUCGAUGCAACGCGAAGAACCUUACCUGGUCUUGACAUCCACAGAACUUAGCAGAGAUGCUUUGGUGCCUUCGGGAACUGUGAGACAGGUGCUGCAUGGCUGUCGUCAGCUCGUGUUGUGAAAUGUUGGGUUAAGUCCCGCAACGAGCGCAACCCUUAUCCUUUGUUGCCAGCGGUCCGGCCGGGAACUCAAAGGAGACUGCCAGUGAUAAACUGGAGGAAGGUGGGG